UCACUGGGUUAAUGACCGCCA
This 21-nucleotide microRNA is filed under the name Heliconius melpomene (postman butterfly). RNAcentral's name for it is "Hme-Mir-3-P23_3p (mature (co-guide))". The record is from RNAcentral. Lineage: Eukaryota; Metazoa; Arthropoda; Insecta; Lepidoptera; Nymphalidae.